GAAAAUUUAAUUACAGAAGGUGCCUGCAGGACUGCAGGAUAAUAGGGAAAUGAGUGAGAAUCUCAUACGGUCCCGCCACUGUAAAAGUGGAGUUUUCUUUCGCAGACAGCGUAUGGUUCAGAUGCAUUGUCAGAUACCACUGGGAAACCGGGAAGGUGGAAGAAAAUGAAGAAGCUUGAGUCAGAAGACCUGCCUUUUGUAAAGGAAUGCA
This 211-nucleotide non-coding RNA is filed under the name Eubacterium sp. Lineage: Bacteria; Bacillati; Bacillota; Clostridia; Eubacteriales; Eubacteriaceae. The record is from RNAcentral. RNAcentral also lists the same sequence under 1 other name.